RNAcentral lists this unclassified non-coding RNA (510 nucleotides) under Hevea brasiliensis (rubber tree). The record is from RNAcentral. Lineage: Eukaryota; Viridiplantae; Streptophyta; Magnoliopsida; Malpighiales; Euphorbiaceae.
GGACGGUCCAGAAAUAUGGUCAACUCGACAUAAUGUUCAGUAACGCAGGAAUUGUUGGUAAUUCGGGUCAAAAGGUGCUCGAUCUGGAUCUUUCCCAAUUCGAUCGGGUGAUGAACGUCAACGCUCGUGGCAUGGCGGCGUGUGUGAAGCACGCAGGACGAGUCAUGGUGGAGAAGCGUGUUAGAGGUAGCAUAAUUUGUACUGGCAGUAUUGCGGCAAGCAGGGGAGGAACCUGGCGGACUGAUUACAUAAUGUCGAAACACGCUGUGUUAGGGUUAGUGAGAUCAGCCUGUAGGCAAUUGGGUGAGUAUGGAAUAAGAGUGAAUAGUAUUUCACCUUCUGCAGUAAUGACGCCAUUGAUGAUCAGCGCGGAAGCGGAGGUAUCAAUGAAGGCUCUGAAAAGGUAUGGUCCGCAGACUAGUUUGAAGGGUAUUACACUGACGGUGAAACACUUGGCGGAAGCUGCUCUGUUUCUAGCUUCCGAUGAUUCUGCUUUUGUUAGUGGGCUUG